GAUGAUCCAGCUCUGUCGGAGGCACGGAGGCACAGUCAAAUCUCAUGCUGUACAUUGAUCACCUGUCCAACCUUUGCCUAGAGUGGGAGCCCCCAGUUCCUUCAAGAGAUCCAACUUUACCUGUCUGUAAAGAAGAAGAGGAGGAGGGAGACAGCAGGGAGGAUCCGGUGGCAGUUUAACACCAGAGCAGGUCCAAUGUUUACUCUUACCCUUUUGGAGCUAUCAGAAGGGCUGACUAAAGGGGAAAUGCAGCUCUGCAGCAAUAUUCUGAUAAUCUAUUGCAGUGCAGCUCACAUCACUGUCCAUCACCACCUGGAACGCUCAUCAGGACUGAAGAGGAGUUUUCACUUUCAUUAUUGAGCACAAUUCUGUUCGACCUGAUAUUUCUUUCAUCAUCUCACGUUGUUUCUCUUGGAUUCAGACAUGUUGGAAAAGAGAAUGUGGAGGAGGAGAAAAAAUGGCAGAGCCUCCAUUUGGGGGGGGGGGACUUGGGCAUUUAAAAUGUGUUCAUCUCUUCUGAGUGUUAUUAUCUGAUAACAUUUUACUUAUGUUAUGUUACUUACGCAUCACCCGAUAAAUUUGAACUCCAUGGGAUUUUAACUUGGAUUCACUUUCUGUUGGACAACUAGCUCCACCUUCCACUUUUCUGCUGGUUGAGUCUAAGUGGUCAUCCCUAAUGCAUUAGAUUAUCAAAAAGUGUAAAUUCUAUGAGUGAGUGGUGUUGGCAGUGUUUGUAUACCAAGAUGCAUGGAAUGUUUGACAAAGAAACCAAAACACCAAAAAUGGUGAGCCUUUACCCUCCUCUAUUUCUUUAAUCCGCUGUUUGAAGAACCAUAUUUUGAUGGCGGAACCAGUAGUUACCUCUGGGCCAGGUUGGAAAUGAAAUCAAUUUUUUAAACCACUAAUACUUGCCAAGAAAUCGCCUUAUGAGAACAUGGUGUGUGUCUCUGACAAUGCAUGGCACAUCAAAAUUGAUCAUCAUAGUUUUCUCUACCCUGAUUUUGUACUGGGGAGUGGCCAAAGCCUGAGGCACCCGCAUAUUUCUCUUCCAUGUGUUUCAUGCAUCCCCUGUGGCUGGGAUGUGACCGAGCCUCAGACUCUCACCACUCCUGUACAUGCAGGUCUCCAUGAAGAGGCUGGGACACAUUCACAUUCAAGAUUCAAAUGCUGUGCAUACAGUGCAAGCUUAGAUCUUCUGUAAACGGAGGGUCAUUUCUCAUUUUUUUUAAAUGUCUCCACCAUGGAUUCCAAAACAUUUUCAGCAUCAGACAUGAAAACAUUGAUGAAUGAGGAAUAAUCACAAAAGCUGUGUAUCUGUAUAUAGCUCUACACAACAUGUUUGUGAUACGGAGUCAUUAUUUAAAGCACAUGCCAGGGAAAGAGACCGAAUUUUGAGGUCUUUUACAUACAGUGACAUGGUACUAAGGAGAAUUAAACUCCUCCUGCUUCCUCUGAAGAUUACAAAAAAUUAAAAGUUGUUAUAACUUCGUAAAACUCAUGACCAAGUCUGGUAAACAUGUGCAACUCUUGUGUUGAUUUGUCAAUGGAAGAAACCCUUCCACGUAUGCAAGUGGGGGAUGAAAAUCUUUCAUUUUUAAAGGACAAACAGUGAAUUUAAGCAUGAGUGGCCUUAAUAAAUAUAGUUGUAUCUCUUUGCUGCUGUGGAAAGGAUUCUAAGCAGAUAAUUCCUAAAGUCUUGCUUUGAAUUUAGUCAUUAUUAUUACUUUUUAAAAUGUUGGUGCAAUUAACUCUGGACCUCUUCUGUGAGCCAUAGAGAUAUUUAAAAGUCACACACCUUAUUUAUCUAUCGGGGAAAAUGAAACUGUGUCUGGGUUGCACUGUUCAUCCUUGGUGCAUUAGGAGUAACAUACUCGAGCAAGUUUCUUGCUGCUGGCUUUGUCCUUGUCGUCAGUAAGUAUCGCAAACUGUGUAAAGCUUUCAUGUCGCAUAAGCAAUCUAAAUACAUUCAUGUUUAAAAAGUUUGUCCUUUAACUAUCGAAGGCAUCUAGGUCUUGAUUCGAGAAAUGAGCAGAGUUCUCCCCAAGCGUAUUUAACACAUUUUGACAUAAUGUCACACUGAAAACCCAGGCCACCAACUCGUCCCCAUGAACAGUUUGGAUGUCCUCAAUAGGCAGCCUCACUGCCUCCUACAGCCAGAUCUUGAUCUGAACUCUGCCACUGAAUACUUGAAGUAGGAAGUAGAAAAUCCACUAGGGAAUAUAGGGGUCCUAGAAACAGAAAAAGCAAUCAACCAUGUAUAGUUAGCUAUUUCCAGGUAUGUGCCAAUUUUGUCACAGCUAUUUUUUCAAGAGAUCAUUUUGCCCCACUUUCAUUGGUUUAAGGUAUUACCAGUAUUACCGUUAUGGGGGCAUAUCAUUUAGUCCCUUAAAAAUUAAAUUCUAUCUAACAUAGCAUCUUUUCAUUAUAGUUCACGUAAUAUUCUCUAAUGUUGUGGGGUUACCAAAAAAAUUCCCUUUUCACAUAUUAAAAGUAAUUUCUGUGUUUACAACAAACACUGUGAUGUUGGAAAGACAUUUCCUUUUCUCAAACGUUAGUGGGUUUCCCCCUUAAUCUUAACCAAGUUGAAAAAGGAAAAGUUGAGGCUAACAUUUAGACAUUGGUCUUCUUGCCUUGUGCAAAAGCAGGCGUGUACUUUAUACCCCAUUUUAUUUCAAUGUACAGUCUCAAUUUUGUAUUUAAUGAUUUUUGUGUAUCCAGUAUGCACGUUAACAGCGUGUCAACUUUCAUUUGAAAGUGGGUUUCCAUUUACUUUUUAAACAGUGUUCAUGAUGAGACCUCAAAUGUGUUGACAUAAGCUCUAUCUGAGAUGUUUUUUGUGUCGAGUGGCGUUUGAAUGCUGCCAGGGGUCAGUGUAUCUAAUUCCCAGAGACCCUCGUUUGAUAGUGCUUCUUGUAAUAUUUCUCCAAGUGAGUGGCAUGUGGGUUGUGAUAUUGACCAUGUGAUUAUGGACUUUGAUAUGAAAACAAUAAAUAAAACUAAGGAACCCUCAGAAACUACCAGUGGGCAUGUAGUAGCCAGUCAUUGUAACCUCAUGUCUAGUAGAAGUACAACGUGCAAGGUAUGUACAGUUCAUGAAUUUGUUAUCACGUGUAUGAGAAGUAAUUUGUGCUGAUCGCCUUAUUUAUAUUCAUCAAAUAAACUUUGUUUCUUUCUGAAG
RNAcentral lists this long non-coding RNA (3178 nucleotides) under Sus scrofa (pig). RNAcentral describes it as "lncRNA (ENSSSCG00050040028.1)". The record is from RNAcentral. Lineage: Eukaryota; Metazoa; Chordata; Mammalia; Artiodactyla; Suidae.